AACGAACGCUGGCGGCAUGCCUAACACAUGCAAGUCGAACGAUCCCUUCGGGGAUAGUGGCGCACGGGUGCGUAACGCGUGGGAACCUGCCCUUAGGUUCGGAAUAACUCAGAGAAAUUUGAGCUAAUACCGGAUAAUGUCUUCGGACCAAAGAUUUAUCGCCUUUGGAUGGGCCCGCGUUGGAUUAGCUAGUUGGUGGGGUAAAGGCCUACCAAGGCGACGAUCCAUAGCUGGUCUGAGAGGAUGAUCAGCCACACUGGGACUGAGACACGGCCCAGACUCCUGCGGGAGGCAGCAGUGGAGGAUAUUGGAGAAUGGGCGGAAGCCUGAUCCAGCAAUGCCGCGUAAGUGAUGAAGGCCUUAGAGUUGUAAAGCUCUUUUACCCGGGAUGAUAAUGACAGUACCGGGAGAAUAAGCCCCGGCUAAAUCCGUG
RNAcentral lists this ribosomal RNA (433 nucleotides) under uncultured bacterium. RNAcentral's name for it is "partial 16S ribosomal RNA". It matches the Rfam family "Bacterial small subunit ribosomal RNA", at positions 29 to 507 of the family's 1533-position model. The record is from RNAcentral.